This 468-nucleotide ribosomal RNA is filed under the name uncultured bacterium. RNAcentral's name for it is "partial 16S ribosomal RNA". It matches the Rfam family "Bacterial small subunit ribosomal RNA", at positions 28 to 507 of the family's 1533-position model. The record is from RNAcentral.
GACGAACGCUGGCGGCGUGCUUAACACAUGCAAGUCGAACGGUGAAGCUCCAGCUUGCUGGAGUGGAUCAGUGGCGAACGGGUGAGUAACACGUGAGCAACCUGCCCCUGACUCUGGAAUAAGCGCUGGAAACGGCGUCUAAUACUGGAUACGAGAAGGGUCCGCAUGGGCACUUUCUGGAAAGUUUUUCGGUUGGGGAUGGGCUCGCGGCCUAUCAGCUUGUUGGUGAGGUAAUGGCUCACCAAGGCGACGACGGGUAGCCGGCCUGAGAGGGCGACCGGCCACACUGGGACUGAGACACGGCCCAGACUCCUACGGGAGGCAGCAGUGGGGAAUAUCGCACAAUGGGCGAAAGCCUGAUGCAGCGACGCCGCGUGAGGGAUGACGGCCUUCGGGUUGUAAACCUCUUUCAGCAGGGAAGAAGCGAAAGUGACGGUACCUGCAGAAGAAGCACCGGCUAACUACGUG